Molecule: unclassified non-coding RNA, 357 nt
Filed under: Hevea brasiliensis (rubber tree)
Lineage: Eukaryota; Viridiplantae; Streptophyta; Magnoliopsida; Malpighiales; Euphorbiaceae
Source: RNAcentral
AAAAGGUGUGGGUGGGAAAGACGCAUGUGGAGAAUUGGCUGGGUCCCCAUGUAGAACCAAUUAAAUCUAAGUGGAUCCCUGCCAUGCAUGAACGGUGGUUGGUGGUGAAAACAAACUAUGAACCACAUUUGCAAUCAUUGUGUAAAAGAAGUUCAGAAGCCUACGAGGCUUCAAAACAAGCAUUGACUCCACAUAUUAUAAGAGCACAAGAAUUUGCCUAUCCCUACUUUCAGAAAUUAAAAAUGGUCAGCAAACCAUAUGUUGAUCAUGUUGCUACCUUAACAAAACCUCAUGUCGACAAAGUUCGAGUAGCAUUAAAUCCUUACACAAAGGAGAUAGUCCAUGCUUGUGGAAAUU